AGAGUUUGAUCCUGGCUCAGGAUGAACGCUGGCGGCGUGCCUAACACAUGCAAGUCGAAGGGACUAUUAAGCGAUGUUUUCGGACUGAACUUUUUAGUUUAGUGGCGGACGGGUGAGUACGCGUGGAUAACCUGCCUUUCACAGGGGGAUAGCAGCUGGAAACGGCUGGUAAUACCGAUACGCUCAUAUCACCGCAUGGUGGUGUGAGGAAAGAUUUAUCGGUGAAAGAUGGAUCCCGUCUGAUUAGCCAGUUGGCGGGGUAACGGCCCACCAAAGCGACGAUCAGUAGCCGGCCGAGAGGGCGGACGGCCACAUUGGGACUGAGACACGGCCCAGACUCCUACGGGAGGCAGCGUGGGGGAUAUUGCACAAUGGGCGCAAGCCUGAUGCAGCGACGCCGCGUGAGUGAAGAAUAUUUCGGUAUGUAAAGCUCUAUCAGCAGGGAAGAAAGGCCCUUUUAGGGAGAUGACGGACCUGACUAAGAAGCCCCGGCUAACUACGUGCCAGCAGCCGCGGUAAUACGUAGGGGGCAGCGUUAUCCGGAUUUACUGGGUGUAAAGGGAGCGCAGACGGAACUGCAAGUCUGAUGUAAAGCCCGGGGCUCAACCGCGGGACUGCAUUGGAAACUGUAGAUCUGGAGUGCCGGAGGGCAAGCGGAAUUCCUGGUGUAGCGGUGAAAUGCGUAGAUAUCACGAGGAACACCGGCGGGAAGGCGGCUUGCUGGACGGCAACUGACGUUGAGGCUCGAAAGCGUGGGGAGCAAACAGAUUAGAUACCCUGGUAGUCCACGCUGUAAACGAUGAAUACUAUGUGUGGGCAUGCAAGGAUGUCCGUGCCGCAGCUAAC
This 846-nucleotide ribosomal RNA is filed under the name uncultured bacterium. RNAcentral's name for it is "bacterial SSU rRNA". It matches the Rfam family "Bacterial small subunit ribosomal RNA", at positions 8 to 856 of the family's 1533-position model. The record is from RNAcentral.